UGCGCAGGUGGGCUUGUAAGUCAGUGGUGAAAUACUGCCGCUUAACGGUAGAACUGCCAUUGAUACUGCAAGUCUUGAAUAUGGUUGAGGUAGGCGGAAUGUGUUGUGUAGCGGUGAAAUGCAUAGAUAUGACACAGAACGCCGAUUGCGAAGGCAGCUUACUAAGCCAUUAUUGACGCUGAGGCACGAAAGCGUGGGGAGCGAACAGGAUUAGAUACCCUGGUAGUC
Molecule: ribosomal RNA, 228 nt
Filed under: uncultured bacterium
Lineage: Bacteria
Description: partial 16S ribosomal RNA
Rfam family: Bacterial small subunit ribosomal RNA
Source: RNAcentral